CAGUAGCCACGGUAAUACGUAGGUCCCGAGCGUUGUCCGGAUUUAUUGGGCGUAAAGCGAGCGCAGGCGGUUAGAUAAGUCUGAAGUUAAAGGCUGUGGCUUAACCAUAGUACGCUUUGGAAACUGUUUAACUUGAGUGCAAGAGGGGAGAGUGGAAUUCCAUGUGUAGCGGUGAAAUGCGUAGAUAUAUGGAGGAACACCGGUGGCGAAAGCGGCUCUCUGGCUUGUAACUGACGCUGAGGCUCGAAAGCGUGGGGCGCAAACAGGAUUAGAUACCCCCGUAGUCCCUGUCUCUUAUACC
RNAcentral lists this ribosomal RNA (301 nucleotides) under uncultured bacterium. RNAcentral describes it as "partial 16S ribosomal RNA". It matches the Rfam family "Bacterial small subunit ribosomal RNA", at positions 509 to 808 of the family's 1533-position model. The record is from RNAcentral.